RNAcentral lists this non-coding RNA (28 nucleotides) under Homo sapiens (human). The record is from RNAcentral. Lineage: Eukaryota; Metazoa; Chordata; Mammalia; Primates; Hominidae.
UCUUACACAGGUUGUGGAGAGAGUGUCA